This 49-nucleotide ribosomal RNA is filed under the name uncultured fungus. Its description in RNAcentral is "partial 28S ribosomal RNA". Lineage: Eukaryota; Fungi. RNAcentral also lists the same sequence under 1 other name. The record is from RNAcentral.
UUAUUUGCACCUGAACUCAAGCAAGAUGACCCGCUGAACUUAAGCAUAU